This 1433-nucleotide ribosomal RNA is filed under the name uncultured bacterium. RNAcentral's name for it is "bacterial SSU rRNA". It matches the Rfam family "Bacterial small subunit ribosomal RNA". The record is from RNAcentral.
AGAGUUUGAUUCUGGCUCAGAACGUACGCUGGCGGCACGCCUAACACAUGCAAGUCGAACGAAGUAGCAAUACUUAGUGGCAGACGGGUGAGUAACAUGUGGGUAUCUGCCCUUUGGCCUGGAAUAACACGAGGAAACUUGUGCUAAUACCGGAUAAGUCUUUACGGAGAAAGCUUUAUGCACCAUUGGAUGAGCCCGCACUUGAUUAGUUUGUUGGUGGGGUAAUGGCCUACCAAGACUGUGAUCAAUAGCUGAUUUGAGAGGAUGAUCAGCCACAUUGGGACUGAGACACGGCCCAAACUCCUACGGGAGGCAGCAGUGGGGAAUCUUGCACAAUGGAGGAAACUCUGAUGCAGCGAUGCCGCGUGAGUGAAGAAGGCCCUUGGGUUGUAAAGCUCUUUCGUCGGGGAAGAAAAUGACUGUACCCGAAUAAGAAGGUCCGGCUAACUUCGUGCCAGCAGCCGCGGUAAUACGAAGGGACCUAGCGUAGUUCGGAAUUACUGGGCUUAAAGAGUUCGUAGGUGGUUGAAAAAGUUGGUGGUGAAAUCCCAGAGCUUAACUCUGGAACUGCCAUCAAAACUUUUCAGCUAGAGUUUGAUAGAGGAAAGCAGAAUUUCUAGUGUAGAGGUGAAAUUCGUAGAUAUUAGAAAGAAUACCAAUUGCGAAGGCAGCUUUCUGGAUCAUUACUGACACUGAGGAACGAAAGCAUGGGUAGCGAAGAGGAUUAGAUACCCUCGUAGUCCAUGCCGUAAACGAUGUGUGUUAGACGUUGGAAAUUUAUUUUCAGUGUCGCAGCGAAAGCGAUAAACACACCGCCUGGGGAGUACGACCGCAAGGUUAAAACUCAAAUGAAUUGACGGGGACCCGCACAAGUAGUGGAGCAUGUGGUUUAAUUCGAAGAUACGCGCAGAACCUUACCAACACUUGACAUGUUCGUCGCGACUUUAAGAGAUUAAAGUUUUCGGUUCGGCCGGACGAAACACAGGUGCUGCAUGGCUGUCGUCAGCUCGUGUCGUGAGAUGUUGGGUUAAGUCCCGCAACGAGCGCAACCCUCACUUUUAGUUGCCAUCAUUUAGUUGGGCACUCUGAAAGAACUGCCAGUGAUAAGCUGGAGGAAGGUGGGGAUGACGUCAAGUCCUCAUGGCCCUUACGUGUUGGGCUACACACGUGCUACAAUGGUAUCUACAACAGGAAGCAAAACAGCGAUGUUAAGCAAAUCCUUAAAAGAUACCUCAGUUCGGAUUGCACUCUGCAACUCGAGUGCAUGAAGCUGGAAUUACUAGUAAUCGUGGAUCAGCGUGCCACGGUGAAUGCGUUCCCGGGUCUUGUACACACCGCCCGUCACACCAUGGGAGUUGGUUCUACCUUAAGGCAAGGUUUAAUACCCUUGACCACGGUAUAGUCAGCGACUGGGGUGAAGUCGUAACAAGGUA